ACGGGUGCGGAACACGUACGCAACCUUCCUUUAAGCGGGGAAUAGCCCAGAGAAAUUUGGAUUAAUACCCCAUAAGAAUGUGAUCUGGCAUCAGGUAGCAUUUAAAGAUUUAUCACUUAAAGAUGGGCGUGCGUCUGAUUAGGUAGUUGGUGAGGUAACGGCUCACCAAGCCGACGAUCAGUAACUGGCGUGAGAGCGCGACCAGUCACACGGGCACUGAGACACGGGCCCGACUCCUACGGGAGGCAGCAGUAAGGAAUAUUGGUCAAUGGACGGAAGUCUGAACCAGCCAUGCCGCGUGGAGGAUGAAGGCCCUCUGGGUUGUAAACUUCUUUUAUCUGGGACGAAACACUUCCUUUCUAGGGAGCUUGACGGUACCAGGUGAAUAAGCACCGGCUAACUCCGUGCCAGCAGCCGCGGUAAUACGGAGGGUGCAAGCGUUAUCCGGAUUCACUGGGUUUAAAGGGUGCGUAGGCGGACAUGUAAGUCCGUGGUGAAAUCUCCGAGCUUAACUCGGAAACUGCCAUGGAUACUAUAUGUCUUGAAUGUUGUGGAGGUUAGCGGAAUAUG
RNAcentral lists this ribosomal RNA (570 nucleotides) under Chitinophaga sp. BvIRHM092. RNAcentral's name for it is "bacterial SSU rRNA". It matches the Rfam family "Bacterial small subunit ribosomal RNA", at positions 102 to 670 of the family's 1533-position model. Lineage: Bacteria; Pseudomonadati; Bacteroidota; Chitinophagia; Chitinophagales; Chitinophagaceae. The record is from RNAcentral.